RNA transcript from Perognathus longimembris pacificus (Pacific pocket mouse), 1903 nucleotides. It is a transcript of the gene named ornithine decarboxylase-like, with no coding region annotated. The record is from RefSeq and is a predicted model, not a curated record. Lineage: Eukaryota; Metazoa; Chordata; Mammalia; Rodentia; Heteromyidae. The transcript has a single exon.
UGGCGGCCUGCGCUCCUCGGGUUCUGGCUCCGGCUCUGGCUGCGGCUGCAGCAGUGGCAGUGGCGGCGUCUCCAUGGGGCCGGGGCGCGGUGGACAGGCGCUCUGAGGUUCAUUUGUUAAGAAGAGUCCUUGCUAAAGCUUCAGAGUGAACUUCAACUACUUGGAGCUUGUUGCAUUCCAGAGGCACAUCCAGAUCCACAACCAUGAGCCACUUUAAUAAGGAAGAUGUUGACUGCCAUAUCCUUGAUGAAGGCUUUACCGCCAAGGACAUCCUGGACCAGAAAAAGUGUCUUCUUCUGAUGAUAAGGAUGCCUUUUAAUUUGCAGACCUGGGAGACAUUCUAAAGAAGCCUCUCCAAUGGUUGAAAGCUCUUCCCCGAGUCACUCCCUUUUAUGCAGUCAAAUGUAAUGACAGCAGAGCCAUAGUGAGCACCCUGGCUGCCAUCGGCACAGGCUUUGACUAUGCCAGCAAGACUGAAAUACAGUUGGUGCAGAGCCUAGGGGUGCCUUCCAAAAGGAUCAUCUAUGCAAACCCUUGUAAGCAAGUGUCUCAGAUCAAGUACGCGGCCAGUAGCGAAGUCCAGAUGAUGACUUUUGACAGUGAGGUGGAGCUGCUGAAAGUGGCCAGAGCGCACCCGAAGGCCAAGCUGGUUUUGCGGAUCGCCACUGAUGAUUCAAAAGCAGUCUGUCGCCUCAGUGUGAAAUUUGGUGCCACGCUCAAAACCAGUAGACUUCUUUUGGAAUGAGCAAAAGAGCUAAAUAUUGAUGUCAUCGGUGUCAGUUUCCAAGUGGGGAGCGGCUGCACCGACGCGGAGACCCACUGUGUCUUCGACAUGGGGACUGAGGCGGGCUUUGACAUGUACCUGCUGGAUAUUGGUGGUGGCUUCCCCGGAUCUGAGGACGUGAAGCUGAAGUUUGAAGAGAUCACCAGUGUGAUUAACCCAGCCCUGGACAAGUACUUCCCAUCAGACUCUGGAGUGCAUAUCAUAGUGGAGCCAGGCAGAUACUAUGUUGCUUCUGCCUUCACACUUGCAGUUAAUAUCAUUGCCAAAAAAAAAAAUGGUCUGGAAGGAGCAGAGCGGCUCUGAUGAUGAGGAUGAGCUAAAUGAGCAGACAUUCAUGUACUAGUAAAAGACGGCAUAUACCGAUCCUUCAACUGCAUCCCUUAUGAUCAUGCACACGUAAAGCCCCUGCUGCAGAAGAGACCCAAGCCCGAUGAGAAGUACUACUCCUCCAGCAUUUGGGGGCCUAUGUGUGACGGCCUGGAUCGCAUCAUUGAGCACUGCAGCCUGCCCAAAAUGCACGUGGGUGAUUGGAUGCUCUUUGAGAACAUGUGUGCCUACACCGUUGCUGCUGCUUCUACCUUCAAUGGCUUCCAGAGGCCGACUAUCCACUACGUAAUGUCACGGCCCAUGUGGCAACUCAUGCAGAAAGUCCAGAAGCACGGCUUCCAGUCCAGGGCGGAGGAGCAGGACGUCAGCGCACUGCCCCUGUCCUGCUCCCAGGAGAGCGUCCUGGAGCGGCGCCCCAUGGCCUGAGCUUCCGCCAGUAUCAAUGUGUAGAAACUUCCUGUAGCUGUCAAGUGCAAGUGUAGCUUGAAUUAAGGGAUUUGGGGGGAACCACUUAACUUAAUUACUGCUAGUUUUGAACAUCUUUGUAAGAAUGGAGCUGGUACCGAUGCAGCAAUAACAGAAGACUAGAAGAUGGGGUCACACUUUUCUGUGUUCCUAUGGAAACUUUGCAUAUUUGUUUUCUAUGGAUUUUUAUUCACUUUUCCAACUUGCUAUAAAGAGUGCCCCUCAGCUGCCGAGCAAGCAUUUGUAGCUUGUACAAUGGCAGCAAGGGCCAGAAGCUUCAUGUUGGGACCUGUUUUGAAAUAAAGUAUCUUGGAAUAAUGAAAAAAA